UACGGGGGGGGCAAGCGUUGUUCGGAAUUACUGGGCGUAAAGGGCUCGUAGGCGGCCAACUAAGUCAGACGUGAAAUCCCUCGGCUUAACCGGGGAACUGCAUCUGAUACUGGAUGGCUUGAGUUCGGGAGAGGGAUGUGGAAUUCCAGGUGUAGCGGUGAAAUGCGUAGAUAUCUGGAGGAACACCGGUGGCGAAGGCGGCAUCCUGGACCGACACUGACGCUGAGGCACGAAGGUCAGGGGAGCAAACGGG
Molecule: ribosomal RNA, 253 nt
Filed under: uncultured bacterium
Lineage: Bacteria
Description: partial 16S ribosomal RNA
Rfam family: Bacterial small subunit ribosomal RNA
Source: RNAcentral